This 736-nucleotide ribosomal RNA is filed under the name Boodlea composita. RNAcentral describes it as "s-rRNA". Lineage: Eukaryota; Viridiplantae; Chlorophyta; Ulvophyceae; Cladophorales; Boodleaceae. The record is from RNAcentral.
AAAAUAGCUGUUUGCCUUGUUUCAUUUUGUGCUCUGUCUGUCGGGCCCCCUUGUCUGCAUGCUGGUUGCAGCUGUAACGCUGCAAUAGCAGCUUUGCAAAAACGCUGCAAGUAGCAGCUGCGCAUGGCCAACGCUGCAGUAAAGCAAAGCUCUGCACCGCGUGCAGUAGCAGCUGUGCAAACGGUGCUGCCAGUAGCCAGCUGCAACAAAACAAACGCUGCAAGUAAGCAGCUAGCUGCACGCUGCAGAUAAGCCAAGCUGCAACGCUCGCAGUAGCCAGCUCUGCAAACAACGAAAACCGCUGUCAGUAAUGUAGAAAAGCAGCUGCUGCAACGCCUGGGCAAGUAGCAGCUAAGCCUGGCAAACCGCUGGCAGUAGGCCAGCUGCAAAAAGGCACGCCUGGCAGCGAAAACAGGCCUGGCUGUCACGUUUGCUUCCAGCAAAUCACAAAACCAGCAGCACACAACACAGCGCGAUGCACUUGCCUCCUUUGGGCUUUGGCUAUAAAAAAAAAAAAACAGUGUAUGUCAGUAUCCCUUCAGGCACAAAGACCACAAAGCACAGAAGCCUCUCCACUCUUCAAAAGAUGUUUAAUAAAAAAUGGAGUGGCCUUCUCUCUCCUCCUCAAAACGGAGUUGGCGUUGAAGUUUGCAGCCAAAGCUUGUGGCCAAGCUAACAAAAAGCACAUAAAAGCAAAAAAAAAAAUCAAGCGAAAAGUAAAAAAAAUAUGACCAAA